GACGAACGCUGGCGGCGUGCUUAACAGAUGCAAGUCGAACGGAAAGGCCCUGCGUUUGUGGGGUGCUCGAGUGGCGAACGGGUGAGUAACACGUGAGUAACCUGCCCUUGACUUUGGGAUAACUUCAGGAAACUGGGGCUAAUACCGGAUAGGAGCUCCUGCUGCAUGGUGGGGGUUGGAAAGUUUCGGCGGUUGGGGAUGGACUCGCGGCUUAUCAGCUUGUUGGUGGGGUAGUGGCUUACCAAGGCUUUGACGGGUAGCCGGCCUGAGAGGGUGACCGGCCACAUUGGGACUGAGAUACGGCCCAGACUCCUACGGGAGGCAGCAGUGGGGAAUAUUGCACCAUGGGCGGAAGCCUGAUGCAGCAACGCCGCGUGCGGGAUGACGGCCUUCGGGUUGUAAACCGCUUUCGCCUGUGACGAAGCGUGAGUGACGGUGAUGGGUAAAGGAGCACCGGCUAGCUACGUG
RNAcentral lists this ribosomal RNA (468 nucleotides) under uncultured bacterium. RNAcentral describes it as "partial 16S ribosomal RNA". It matches the Rfam family "Bacterial small subunit ribosomal RNA", at positions 28 to 507 of the family's 1533-position model. The record is from RNAcentral.